AACGAACGCUGGCGGCAUGCCUAACACAUGCAAGUCGAACGAGACCUUCGGGUCUAGUGGCGCACGGGUGCGUAACGCGUGGGAACCUGCCCUUAGGUUCGGAAUAACUCCCCGAAAGGGGUGCUAAUACCGGAUAAUGUCUUCGGACCAAAGAUUUAUCGCCCUUGGAUGGGCCCGCGUUGGAUUAGCUAGUUGGUAGGGUAAAAGCCUACCAAGGCGACGAUCCAUAGCUGGUCUGAGAGGAUGGUCAGCCACACUGGGACUGAGACACGGCCCAGACUCCUACGGGAGGCAGCAGUGGGGAAUAUUGGACAAUGGGCGAAAGCCUGAUCCAGCAAUGCCGCGUGAGUGAUGAAGGCCUUAGGGUUGUAAAGCUCUUUUACCCGGGAUGAUAAUGACAGUACCGGGAGAAUAAGCUCCGGCUAACUCCGUG
RNAcentral lists this ribosomal RNA (433 nucleotides) under uncultured bacterium. Its description in RNAcentral is "partial 16S ribosomal RNA". It matches the Rfam family "Bacterial small subunit ribosomal RNA", at positions 29 to 507 of the family's 1533-position model. The record is from RNAcentral.